UUUUAAAGGGAGUUACGCACCUUUGAAGUUGGAGGUGAGAGAGUGAGAGACAGCAGACAACGAGACAGUCGUGUUGUCUGUCGCCUCGCACUUACUCACCUCCAACUUCAAAGGCGCAUAACUCGCUUCAAAA
RNAcentral lists this small RNA (133 nucleotides) under Caenorhabditis brenneri. RNAcentral's name for it is "sRNA CBN34307". The record is from RNAcentral. Lineage: Eukaryota; Metazoa; Nematoda; Chromadorea; Rhabditida; Rhabditidae.